GACGAACCGAGCGAACGUUGUUCGGAAUCACUGGGCUUAAAGGGCGCGUAGGCGGGCUGUCAAGUCUGGGGUGAAAUGCCGCGGCUCAACCGUGGAACUGCCUCAGAUACUGACGGCCUCGAGGGAGGUAGGGGCGAGCGGAACUAAUGGUGGAGCGGUGAAAUGCGUUGAUAUCCAGCGGAACUCCGGUGGCGAAGGCGAGGUGCUGGACCCUUUCUGACGCUGAGUGCGCGAAAGCCAGGGGAGCAAACGGG
This 254-nucleotide ribosomal RNA is filed under the name uncultured bacterium. Its description in RNAcentral is "partial 16S ribosomal RNA". It matches the Rfam family "Bacterial small subunit ribosomal RNA", at positions 524 to 776 of the family's 1533-position model. The record is from RNAcentral.